UGGGGAAUAUUGCACAAUGGAGGGAACUCUGAUGCAGCGACGCCGCGUGAACGAAGAAGGCUUUCGAGGCGUAAAGUUCUUUUAGAUGGGAAGAUAAUGACGGUACCAUAAGAAAAAGCCCCGGCUAACUACGUGCCAGCAGCCGCGGUAAUACGUAGGGGGCUAGCGUUGUCCGGAAUCACUGGGCGUAAAGGGUUCGCAGGCGGAAAUGCAAGUCAGGUGUAAAAGGCAGUAGCUUAACUACUGUAAGCAUUUGAAACUGCAUAUCUUGAGAAGAGUAGAGUUAAGUGGAAUUUUUAGUGUAGCGGUGAAAUGCGUAGAUAUUAAAAAGAAUACCGGUGGCGAAGGCGACUUACUGGGCUCAUUCUGACGCUGAGGAACGAAAGCGUGGGUAGCAAACAGG
This 403-nucleotide ribosomal RNA is filed under the name Fusobacteriota bacterium. RNAcentral's name for it is "Fusobacteria bacterium partial 16S ribosomal RNA". It matches the Rfam family "Bacterial small subunit ribosomal RNA", at positions 355 to 776 of the family's 1533-position model. Lineage: Bacteria; Fusobacteriati; Fusobacteriota. The record is from RNAcentral.